GUCAACUUGGCCGAGUGGUUAAGGCGUAUGCCUGCUAAGUGUAUUCCAUCUGGAGCGCAGGUUCGAACCCUGCAGUUGACG
Molecule: transfer RNA, 81 nt
Filed under: Podila verticillata NRRL 6337
Lineage: Eukaryota; Fungi; Mortierellomycota; Mortierellomycetes; Mortierellales; Mortierellaceae
Description: tRNA-Ser (GCT) (tRNA-Ser-GCT-1 1 to 4)
Rfam family: tRNA
About the family: Transfer RNA (tRNA) molecules are approximately 80 nucleotides in length. Their secondary structure includes four short double-helical elements and three loops (D, anti-codon, and T loops).
Source: RNAcentral